RNAcentral lists this ribosomal RNA (481 nucleotides) under uncultured bacterium. RNAcentral describes it as "SSU rRNA". It matches the Rfam family "Bacterial small subunit ribosomal RNA", at positions 26 to 518 of the family's 1533-position model. The record is from RNAcentral.
AGAACGAACGCUGGCGGCAUGCCUAACACAUGCAAGUCGAACGCUUCCGGGGCUUCGGUCGCGGAGGAGUGGCGCACGGGUGAGUAGCGCGUGGGAACCUGCCCUGUUGUGGGGGAUAACCGAGGGAAACUUCGGCUAAUACCGCAUACGCCCCGGGACUUGGUCUUCGGAUUAGGUCUGGGGGGAAAGAUUGAUCGCAGCAGGAGGGGCCCGCGUCGGAUUAGCUGGUUGGUGGGGUAACGGCUCACCAAGGCGAUGAUCCGUAGCUGGUCUGAGAGGAUGAUCAGCCACACUGGGACUGAGACACGGCCCAGACUCCUACGGGAGGCAGCAGUGGGGGAAUAUUGGGCAAUGGGCGCAAGCCUGAUCCAGCCAUGCCGCGUGAGUGAUGACGGCCUUAGGGUUGUAAAGCUCUUUCGCUCGGGACGAUAAUGACGGUACCGAGAUAAGAAGCCCCGGCUAACUUCGUGCCAGCAGCCGC